This 1156-nucleotide long non-coding RNA is filed under the name Equus caballus (horse). RNAcentral describes it as "lncRNA (ENSECAG00000052950.1)". Lineage: Eukaryota; Metazoa; Chordata; Mammalia; Perissodactyla; Equidae. The record is from RNAcentral.
GCCAGAUAGCCCAAUUCUGGUCUAGACAGAUAGUGAAACUUCUGAGAAAGCUCCUUAAUGGCGGAGAGACUUGGCUGGCUUACCACUUUUCCUUUGAAUCCUCCACUUCCUCCUGGCAGGAAUGCAGAAGCAAUGCCAGAGGUGAAACAGCUAUUCUGAAACCUUGAGGUAACAAUAAUGAGCUUGGAAGCCACAUCCUAAGAUGGCUGAAUGGGAAAGAAAAAGGAGACAAAUGCAGCCCAUUUCCGGACCACUUUUUACAUGAGAAAAAGAAAAUUCCUUAUUUCUUUAACCCACUGUAGGUCAUUUCUGUCACUGAGAGCUGAAGGUACAUACUCACUGAUACAAAAAAAAAAUGUGUAUACGGCCAGUCGCAAGGUAGGAAACUCAAUUAACACAUUUAAAAUGGUGCGGCCAUAUAGGAGAAAAAACAGGAAAGCAUGUUUCCAGACGGGUUCCCUGGAUCACCACAGGUGUCUGACAGAAGGAUGAGCAUUGAAUAGAACAAGGACACAAGGGGGAGACAAGCCCACCCGGAUUCACCUUCGAACAAGAGUGAUGGCUGCGUGUUCUAGAGCACAGCCUAGCACUGGGUAGAUGCCUUUCCAAAAAUUAUACAUCUGAAGCAAUAUUUGGCGCCAUGGAAACAAAGACAAAAAUGUACACAAAAUAGAAAUAAAGACAGGAAAACUUGCAUGUAAGAUUUUCCCUAAUAGCUUCCGUCUACUAUCCUUGUGGGAAAAUCAAUAAUAUUGGAGAACUGACAGCAUUUGUACGGUCUGAGAUUCUCAAAACAUGGAACAAGGAAUAAUAGUGUUAUAUCAAGAAGCUUUAGAUGGUAAAUAGACAUGGCAUCAAACAGUGCUGAAACGUGAAGCUAGCUGCCAUGUUGUGAGAAGAGGCUCAAAUGGUGAGGAUCUGAGGCACCUGUCCAACAUCCAUUGAGGAACUGAAGCAUCUUGCCAGGCGCCAUGUGAGUGAGCUUGGAAGCAUUUCCUCCCACCCCAGCCAAGUCUUCGGAUGACUGCUGCCCCAGCCAACAUCUGGACCAUAAUCUCAUCAGAGACCCUGAGCCAGAACCAUCCAGCUGAGCUGCUACCAAAUUCUUGAUCCACAGGGAGUGUGAGGAGAAUAAAUGUUUGUUAUUUUAAGCCAC